This 991-nucleotide ribosomal RNA is filed under the name Tetraploa nagasakiensis. RNAcentral describes it as "SSU rRNA". It matches the Rfam family "Eukaryotic small subunit ribosomal RNA", at positions 92 to 1088 of the family's 1831-position model. The record is from RNAcentral. Lineage: Eukaryota; Fungi; Ascomycota; Dothideomycetes; Pleosporales; Tetraplosphaeriaceae.
AAUGGCUCAUUAAAUCAGUUAUCGUUUAUUUGAUAGUACCUACCAACUACUUGGAUAACCGUGGUAAUUCUAGAGCUAAUACAUGCUAAAGUCCCCGACUUCGGGAGGGGUGUAUUUAUUAGAUAAAAAACCAAUGCCCCUCGGGGCUCCUUGGUGAAUCAUAAUAACUUAACGGAUCGCAUGGCCUUGCGCCGGCGACGGUUCAUUCAAAUUUCUGCCCUAUCAACUUUCGAUGGUAAGGUAUUGGCUUACCAUGGUUUCAACGGGUAACGGGGAAUUAGGGUUCGAUUCCGGAGAGGGAGCCUGAGAAACGGCUACCACAUCCAAGGAAGGCAGCAGGCGCGCAAAUUACCCAAUCCCGACACGGGGAGGUAGUGACAAUAAAUACUGAUACAGGGCUCUUUUGGGUCUUGUAAUCGGAAUGAGUACAAUUUAAACCCCUUAACGAGGAACAAUUGGAGGGCAAGUCUGGUGCCAGCAGCCGCGGUAAUUCCAGCUCCAAUAGCGUAUAUUAAAGUUGUUGCAGUUAAAAAGCUCGUAGUUGAACCUUGGGCCUGGCUGGCCGGUCCGCCUCACCGCGUGUACUGGUCCGGCCGGGCCUUUCCUUCUGGAGAGCCGCAUGCCCUUCACUGGGUGUGUCGGGGAACCAGGACUUUUACUUUGAAAAAAUUAGAGUGUUCAAAGCAGGCCUUUGCUCGAAUACGUUAGCAUGGAAUAAUAGAAUAGGACGUGCGGUCCUAUUUUGUUGGUUUCUAGGACCGCCGUAAUGAUUAAUAGGGAUAGUCGGGGGCAUCAGUAUUCAAUUGUCAGAGGUGAAAUUCUUGGAUUUAUUGAAGACUAACUACUGCGAAAGCAUUUGCCAAGGAUGUUUUCAUUAAUCAGUGAACGAAAGUUAGGGGAUCGAAGACGAUCAGAUACCGUCGUAGUCUUAACCGUAAACUAUGCCGACUAGGGAUCGGGCGAUGUUUCUAUCUUGACUCGCUCGGCACCU